GCUUGUCUCAAAGAUUAAGCCAUGCAUGUCUAAGUAUAAGCAAUUAUACCGUGAAACUGCGAAUGGCUCAUUAAAUCAGUUAUCGUUUAUUUGAUAAUACCUUACUACUUGGAUAACCGUGGUAAUUCUAGAGCUAAUACAUGCUGAAAAUCCCGACUUCGGAAGGGAUGUGUUUAUUAGAUAAAAAACCAAUGCCCUUCGGGGCUCCUUGGUGAUUCAUGAUAACUUUACGGAUCGCAUAGCCUUGCGCUGGCGACGGUUCAUUCAAAUUUCUGCCCUAUCAACUUUCGAUGGUAAGGUAUUGGCUUACCAUGGUUUCAACGGGUAACGGGGAAUUAGGGUUCGAUUCCGGAGAGGCAGCCUGAGAAACGGCUACCACAUCCAAGGAAGGCAGCAGG
RNAcentral lists this ribosomal RNA (398 nucleotides) under Alternaria infectoria. RNAcentral describes it as "partial small subunit ribosomal RNA". It matches the Rfam family "Eukaryotic small subunit ribosomal RNA", at positions 30 to 432 of the family's 1831-position model. The record is from RNAcentral. Lineage: Eukaryota; Fungi; Ascomycota; Dothideomycetes; Pleosporales; Pleosporaceae.